UCCUCCCCCCUGACCUCCACCUUCCAGCCACUAGGACUACUCUCCCUCUCCCCCUCCCCCACCCUGACCUCCACCUUCCAGCCACUAGGACUACUCUCCCUCCUUCUUUCCCAGUCUUCCACACUCGUCAUGCUGAGCAAAGUGCAGAGCGACCACGAUUGGUUACUGUGGUCCGACCGUGCGGUUACAGCGCCCUCAGAAAGGUGACGGUGCUGUUAAACCGUAGGGGCGUGGUCUCGUACGAACAGCUUCUAUUGGACGUCUCCGAGGCGCUGGGCUUCCCUCGCUGGCACAGGGCCAGAGUCACACGCCUUUACACGCCACAUGCACGAGAGGUGCGGGGUGUGUGUGAUUUCUUCCGUGGCGAAGCGGCGUUCCUGGCGUUGGGAAAGUCUCUGAGCUCCGGAGCGUCGAGGAGGCCCUGGAGGAGCUGUUACUGCAACGACGCGCUCCGGGCCUGGGAGAGGAGGUUACGCCCUUCACCUGAUGAAGCUACCAAGGCCGACAGCGGAUACAGCGAAGGGACGGACACACACUCGCACCUCGACACGGACACACUGACAAACGGAGAUACACUUACACAAGGACGCAACCUGGACAGACACACACAUCACAAAGCAGACACACACAGGCUUAAACACCCAAACACACUGACACACUCCAAUACACACCCAAACACACGGACACACCCCAAUACACACCCAAACAGGCACUUCAUACACAACAACCCAACCAGACAGUCCAUACACCCUACUCACACACACCUGGACACGGAUGCACACACACAUACACACCCUAACACACAUUCUAAACGAAACUCCACACACCCCUCUCACCCCCCCAAUCAUCUUCAGAGGGUCAGAGUGAAAAGCGGAACUAGAGGGAGACUAUCCUCACCGAUAGGUCCACUUACCCAGGAAGAGGAGAUAGACACACCCUCUCCUCCACGCAGCAGGAACUGUAAGCUCUCUGAUCGACCCAGUCAGAGAGCAGGGAGGGCUCCACUUCCUCCCGUAACCAGGAAGCAAACAGGAAACAGACCAAAUGACCAGGAAGUAGAGAAACCUCACGUCGGUCCUGCCCGGUGCCACACUGGAUCAAUCUGUAGGAUUGAGGAGGAGUCCCUCAGCCAAUCAGAACAUUGCUCCUCAGAUUCUAAACAGGAAGAGGCUGGGACUAAACAGGAAACUAUCUUUGACCUCCCGUCUGACAAUAGUGAUGUCACUCUGUCGGAUAUUGAGUGUUACUAUGACAUCGGCCGCACGGUCGGAGACGGAAACUUUGCUGUUGUGCGCGAGUGUCGUCGGCGCAACAACGGGGAAGCCUUCGCUGUAAAGAUUGUGGAGCGCUCAAAGCUGAUUGGCCGAGAGCACAUGAUGCAGAACGAGCUGAGCAUUCUGGGUAGCUUGUCACAUCCCCGCGUGGUGCGCCUCUUCACACACCACCACACACACACACAUUCCUAUCUUGUCAUGGAGAUGGUUACCGGGGGCGACCUGUUCGAGGCGAUUGCAGAGCGUGGGAAGUUUCCGGAAGAGGAGGCGGGGCAGAUGGUGUGUGAUGUCAGUGAAGCUCUGAGAUACAUUCACAGCAAGACCAUAGUACACAGAGACCUGAAACCUGAAAACCUACUGGUGGAGUACAGUAAUGAUAGGGUCAGUAGGUUGAAGCUGGGUGAUUUUGGACUGGCCAUGGUUGUAACAGAACCCAUCUUCACUGUGUGUGGAACACCCACCUAUGUCGCCCCGGAGAUCCUCUCAGAGACAGGGUAUGGUCUGCCGGUAGACCUGUGGGCGUUGGGGGUGAUAGUCUACAUCCUGCUCUGUGGGUUCCCUCCGUUCCGGAGAAGAGACAGAGACCAAGAGGAGCUGUUCCAGCUGAUCAGAGAGGGACACCUUACCUUCCUGGCCCCUUACUGGGAUCACAUAUCUGACGCAGCACAAGGUCUGGUGAAAGCCUUGCUACAGGUGAAUCCAACAGAGAGACUGACAGCAGUGCAGACUCUGAAGCAUCCCUGGAUUCAAACCACUACAGACCAGUACAGACCAGUAAAAACCAGUACAGACCAGUACAAACCACUACAGACCAGUACAAACCAGUACAGACCAGUAAAAACCAGUACAGACCAGUACCGACCAGCACAACCCAGUAAAGAGCAGCACAGAUCACUACAGAGAGCAUCAAAAUCAUCAACCCAACUCAACUCAUCGACAGCCCCAAUCAACCAGUCGUCUGCUCCAGCAAGAGCACCCCUCAAACCCCACAUCCAAUCCCCCCAGCCCACAUCCAAUCCCCUCCUUUCACCCACCUCCCUCCAAACACCCACCCUGUCUCAGCCCACCAAACACCCACCCUAUCUCAGCCCACCAAACACCCUGUCUCAGUCCACCAAAUAGCGUGUCCCAGUCCACCAAACACCAGCAGCACCCCGCCCCACCGUUCCAGCAGUGUACCACCCCCCCCAGUAGCAGCACCCCUCCAAAUCUCCCCAGCCCCACUUCCCCUCAACCCAGCCUCCUGAUUGAUGGGGUUCCUAAUACUUUAAACACCUCUCCUCCAGGACUUGUAAAGAUCUGAUAUUCUGUACAGAAUGCCCCCCAUUGUCAUACACUGAUGUUCAGUUCCUCUUCAACUAUAUACAUAGAUGGCAGAUUGUAGUAUUUAGAUGGUAGGUUGUAGUAUUUAGAUGUAGAUGGUAGAUUGUAGUAUUUAGAUGGCAGAUUGUAGUAUUUAGAUGGCAGAUUGUAGUAUUUAGAUGUAGAUGGUAGAUUGUAGUAUUUAGAUGGUAGGUUGUAGUAUUUAGAUGUAGAUGGUGGGUUGUAGUAUUUAGAUGGUAGGUUGUAGUAUUUAGAUGUAGGUUGUAGUAUUUAGUUCAGCAGAUAACUUAAUACUUUCAAUAAAUGUUUUUUUUCUGACA
This 2917-nucleotide long non-coding RNA is filed under the name Salmo salar (Atlantic salmon). RNAcentral describes it as "lncRNA (ENSSSAG00000106775.1, ENSSSAG00000107870.1)". Lineage: Eukaryota; Metazoa; Chordata; Actinopteri; Salmoniformes; Salmonidae. The record is from RNAcentral.